GACGAACGCUGGCGGCGUGCUUAACACAUGCAAGUCGAACGGAAAGGCCCUGCUUUUGUGGGGUGCUCGAGUGGCGAACGGGUGAGUAACACGUGAGUAACCUGCCCUUGACUUUGGGAUAACUUCAGGAACCUGGGGCUAAUACCGGAUAGGAGCUCCUGCUGCAUGGUGGGGGUUGGAAAGUUUCGGCGGUUGGGGAUGGACUCGCGGCUUAUCAGCUUGUUGGUGGGGUAGUGGCUUACCAAGGCUUUGACGGGUAGCCGGCCUGAGAGGGUGACCGGCCACAUUGGGACUGAGAUACGGCCCAGACGCCUACGGGAGGCAGCAGUGGGGAAUAUUGCACAAUGGGCGGAAGCCUGAUGCAGCAGCGCCGCGUGCGGGAUGACGGCCUUCGGGUUGUAAACCGCUUUCGCCUGUGACGAAGCGUGAGUGACGGUAAUGGGUAAAGAAGCACCGGCUAACUACGUG
This 468-nucleotide ribosomal RNA is filed under the name uncultured bacterium. Its description in RNAcentral is "partial 16S ribosomal RNA". It matches the Rfam family "Bacterial small subunit ribosomal RNA", at positions 28 to 507 of the family's 1533-position model. The record is from RNAcentral.